AAGUCGUAACAAGGUUUCCGUAGGUGAACCUGCGGAAGGAUCAUUAUCGAACUAUCGAGGGUUGUUGCUGGGUGUCACAAGACGCCAUGUGCACGCCUUCAUAAUUCUCAACCCCUGUGCACCUAUUGUAGGCUGGGCGUAGGGCUGACUUAGGUCGGUCUGAAAGCCAGGCUAUGUUUACACACGCUUCAGUUUAAGAAUGUCAUUUGCGGAUAACGCAUCGUAUACAACUUUCAGCAACGGAUCUCUUGGCUCUC
RNAcentral lists this unclassified non-coding RNA (257 nucleotides) under air metagenome. Its description in RNAcentral is "partial contains small subunit ribosomal RNA, internal transcribed spacer 1, and 5.8S ribosomal RNA". The stretch from base 1 to 46 matches the Rfam family "Eukaryotic small subunit ribosomal RNA", at positions 1786 to 1831 of the family's 1831-position model. The record is from RNAcentral.